AGGACGAACGCUGGCGGCAGGCUUAACACAUGCAAGUCGAACGCUCGUAGCAAUACGGGAGUGGCAGACGGGUGAGUAACGCGUGGGAACAUACCCUCCGGUUCGGAAUAGCUCAGGGAAACUUGGAUUAAUACCGGAUACGGCUGAGAGGCGAAAGAUUGAUCGCCGGAGGAUUGGCCCGCGUUCGAUUAGCUUGUUGGUGAGGUAACGGCUCACCAAGGCUAUGAUCGAUAGCUGGUCUGAGAGGAUGAUCAGCCACAUUGGGACUGAGACACGGCCCAAACUCCUACGGGAGGCAGCAGUGGGGAAUAUUGGACAAUGGGCGCAAGCCUGAUCCAGCCAUGCCGCGUGAGUGAUGACGGCCUUAGGGUUGUAAAGCUCUUUCGCUCGGGACGAUAAUGACGGUACCGAGAUAAGAAGCCCCGGCUAACUUCGUGCCAGCACGCCGC
Molecule: ribosomal RNA, 449 nt
Filed under: uncultured bacterium
Lineage: Bacteria
Description: SSU rRNA
Rfam family: Bacterial small subunit ribosomal RNA
Source: RNAcentral